This 256-nucleotide long non-coding RNA is filed under the name Homo sapiens (human). Its description in RNAcentral is "HSALNT0407241". The record is from RNAcentral. Lineage: Eukaryota; Metazoa; Chordata; Mammalia; Primates; Hominidae.
AUUGAAUCACCCUUUCCUGCUCGUAAUUUAUUUGUGUUAUUUUUUAAAUUUGGUCUCUAAAUAAGACAAAUGUUUAUGACCUCUGUUAAUCAGCAUUGCAAUUAUAUCUAUAUAUUUAUAUACUUAUAUGAAUACGUAAAACUGGAAAUUUGGAUUUAUACUGAAAAAGUCACAGAAUAAUUGCAUUAUGGUCAUGAACACUCAUUUCCAAAAAAAAGUGGUAUGGAGUUGUUUCUCUGUUUCUAAACCCCAUCUC